RNAcentral lists this ribosomal RNA (301 nucleotides) under uncultured bacterium. Its description in RNAcentral is "partial 16S ribosomal RNA". It matches the Rfam family "Bacterial small subunit ribosomal RNA", at positions 509 to 807 of the family's 1533-position model. The record is from RNAcentral.
CAGUAGCCGCGGGAAUACGGAGGGGGCUAGCGUUGUUCGGAAUUACUGGGCGUAAAGCGCACGUAGGCGGCUUUGUAAGUUAGAGGUGAAAGCCCGGGGCUCAACUCCGGAAUUGCCUUUAAGACUGCAUCGCUUGAAUCGCGGAGAGGUGAGUGGAAUUCCGAGUGUAGAGGUGAAAUUCGUAGAUAUUCGGAAGAACACCAGUGGCGAAGGCGGCUCACUGGACGCGUAUUGACGCUGAGGUGCGAAAGCGUGGGGAGCAAAUGGGAUUAGAUACCCCCGUAGUCCCUGUCUCUUAUAC